The sequence is a ribosomal RNA, 731 nucleotides long. The stretch from base 260 to 415 matches the Rfam family "5.8S ribosomal RNA".
GGAUCAUUGUCGAAAUCGAACGGAAGAACGACCCGCGAAUCGUCAUUGCGUAGUAGACAGAGCCCGUGAGCACCUAACGCUCACGGGUCUCGCGUCGCGUCGGCGCGGGUGUACUCGAGACCCGCGUCGUACCGGCGGACAAACAACGUCAGCACGGAUCGUGCCAAGGAGCAGCAUGGAGAGAAUCGUCGUCCCACGCCUUUGAUAGUCCUCGACGCGGGACGGGGGAUGUACGCAAUCUCUACUCAAAAGUCUAAACGACUCUCGGCAACGGAUAUCUCGGCUCUUGCAUCGAUGAAGAACGUAGCGAAAUGCGAUACUUGGUGUGAAUUGCAGAAUCCCGUGAACCAUCAAUUCUUUGAACGCAAGUUGCGCCCGAAGCCAUUCGGCCGAGGGCACGCCUGCCUGGGCGUCGUGAAUCCCCUUGCCCCUAGGCACCCGCAUGAGCAUUGGCGGGGACAAAUGCUCGGGCGCAGAAUAUGGUCUCCCGUGGGAUCGGCAUGCACGUCAUGCCGAGGUGCGGUUGGCCGAAAAUCGAGCAUGGCGGUGACGGGCACCACGGCGUUCGGUGGAUCGAAUGAGAUUGGCUGCGUCGUGGGCUCGGCAUGCGGCGGGCUCCGGACUUUGAAUAUCCCCGAGUGCGAUCCCAGGUCAGGCGGGGCUACCCGCUGAGUUUAAGCAUAUCAAUAAGCGGAGGAAAAGAAACUAACGAGGAUUCCCUUAGUAGCGGC